Molecule: ribosomal RNA, 1209 nt
Filed under: Triticum aestivum (bread wheat)
Lineage: Eukaryota; Viridiplantae; Streptophyta; Magnoliopsida; Poales; Poaceae
Description: partial small subunit ribosomal RNA
Source: RNAcentral
AUGGACAACAACAGCAGCAGGAGCAGCAUGGCCAAGCCCAUGGAAGCCGUCCGUUCCGGGAGCGUCCUCUCCAAUGUGGUCACCGUCAUGCUGCUCCUCUCCUUGGGCUUCGUCUUCGGCAUGGUGUACAACGCCAACUUCCAGGAAUCCCAUCUCACGCCAUUCCUGCAGCCGCUGCCUUCUCUCCUACGGCCAUCGCCAACUCCGGUGGUAGCGUGCGGCGUCGGCCCACCGUCGCCCUCUCCCACUUCGCCGCAGUCCCCGCCACCGGCGCGAAUGGGGUUCGCCGACUUCCUCGCGCCGAGUGGCGGCGGCCUCAUGCACAACAUGACCGACGAGGAGCUGUUCUGGAGGGCGUCCAUGGUGCCCAGGGUCGCCCUCGUGCCGCGGCGCAUCGUGCCCAAGGUGGCCUUCCUGUUCCUGGUCACCGGGAACCUGCCGCUGCGGCCGUUGUGGGAGAAGUUCUUCGCCGGGCACGAGGGGCUCUACUCCAUCUACGUCCACGCCAGCCCCGCCUACACCGGCUCGCCGCCGGCCGACUCCGUCUUCUACGGCCGCAUGAUCCCAAGCCAGAACACGAGCUGGGGCAACAUGAACCUGGUCGAUGCCGAGCGGCGGCUGCUGGGGACGGCGUUGCUGGACCUCGGUAAUGCACGGUUCGCGCUGCUGUCGGAGACGUGCAUCCCUCUCCUCUCCUUCCCGGCUGCCCACGCCUUCCUCACCGGCGCCAACGCCAGCUUCAUCGACAGCUUCCCCACCCGUGCGCGGCAUGCGCCCUUUUUCCUCCAGCGCAACAUCAGCCGCGCGCAGUGGCGUAAGGGGUCGCAGUGGUUCGAGAUGGACCGGGAGCUCGCCGUGGACGUCAUCGCCGAGGAGCGGUACAUGGCCGUGUUUCGCGGCGACCACGGCAUCGCCAACAUGUUGGAGCACUACAUGCCGACGCUGGUGACCCUGCUGGGCUGGGGCACGCGCGCCGCCAACCGGACCCUCACGUACACCGACUGGCCGAGACCGGGCCCGCACCCGGCGAGCUACGGCGUCAGGGACGUCACACCAGAGCUGCUGGAGGGGAUGAGGCGAGGGAACGGGGAGUGCGGCUACAGCGCCGGCAAGGCGGUUGAGUUCUGCUUCAUGUUCGCGCGCAAGUUCUCCGGGGAUGCGCUCGGCAAGUUGCUUGAGCUCGCUCCUAAGGUCAUGGGGUUCGGCUGA